UACGUAGGGGGCAAGCGUUGUCCGGAAUCAUUGGGCGUAAAGCGCGUGUAGGCGGCUCGAUAAGUCUGCUGUGAAAGUCCAGGGCUCAACCCUGGGAUGCCGGUGGAUACUGUCGAGCUCGAGUCCGGAAGAGGCGAAUGGAAUUCCUGGUGUAGCGGUGAAAUGCGCAGAUAUCAGGAGGAACACCAAUGGCGAAGGCAGCUCGCUGGGACGUGACUGACGCUGAGACGCGAAAGCGUGGGGAGCAAACAGG
This 253-nucleotide ribosomal RNA is filed under the name uncultured bacterium. RNAcentral describes it as "partial 16S ribosomal RNA". It matches the Rfam family "Bacterial small subunit ribosomal RNA", at positions 524 to 776 of the family's 1533-position model. The record is from RNAcentral.